RNAcentral lists this ribosomal RNA (173 nucleotides) under uncultured bacterium. RNAcentral describes it as "partial 16S ribosomal RNA". It matches the Rfam family "Bacterial small subunit ribosomal RNA", at positions 1320 to 1500 of the family's 1533-position model. The record is from RNAcentral.
AUGAAGCUGGAUUCGCUAGUAAUCGCGCAUCAGCCACGGCGCGGUGAAUACGUUCCCGGGCCUUGUACACACCGCCCGUCAAGCCAUGGAAGCCGGGAGUGCCUGAAGUACGCGACCGCAAGGAGCGUCCUAAGGUAAAACCGGUGACUGGGGCUAAGUCGUAACAAGGUAGC